AGAGCGAACGCUGGCGGCAGGCCUAACACAUGCAAGUCGAACGGACCCUUCGGGGUUAGUGGCGGACGGGUGAGUAACACGUGGGAACGUGCCUUUAGGUUCGGAAUAGCUCCUGGAAACGGGUGGUAAUGCCGAAUGUGCCCUUCGGGGGGAAAGAUUUAUCGCCUUUAGAGCGGCCCGCGUCUGAUUAGCUUGUUGGUGAGGUAAUGGCUCACCAAGGCUACGAUCAGUAGCUGGUCUGAGAGGAUGACCAGCCACAUUGGGACUGAGACACGGCCCAAACUCCUACGGGAGGCAGCAGUGGGGAAUCUUGCGCAAUGGGCGAAAGCCUGACGCAGCCAUGCCGCGUGUAUGAUGAAGGUCUUAGGAUUGUAAAAUACUUUCACCGGUGAAGAUAAUGACUGUAGCCGGAAGAAGAAGCCCCGGCUAACUUCGUGCCAGCAGCCG
This 447-nucleotide ribosomal RNA is filed under the name uncultured soil bacterium. RNAcentral describes it as "bacterial SSU rRNA". It matches the Rfam family "Bacterial small subunit ribosomal RNA", at positions 26 to 517 of the family's 1533-position model. The record is from RNAcentral.